UAGCUAAAUGCGGAAGAGAUAAGUGCUGAAAGCAUCUAAGCACGAAACUUGCCCCGAGAUGAGUUCUCCCUGACUCCUUGAGAGUACUGAAGGAACGUUGAAGACGACGACGUUGAUAGGCCGGGUGUGUAAGCGCAGCGAUGCGUUGAGCUAACCGGUACUAAUGAACCGUGAGGCUUAACCUUACAACGCCGAAG
This 197-nucleotide ribosomal RNA is filed under the name Escherichia coli. RNAcentral's name for it is "partial 23S ribosomal RNA". It matches the Rfam family "Bacterial large subunit ribosomal RNA", at positions 2746 to 2925 of the family's 2925-position model. Lineage: Bacteria; Pseudomonadati; Pseudomonadota; Gammaproteobacteria; Enterobacterales; Enterobacteriaceae. The record is from RNAcentral.